This is a non-coding RNA of Danio rerio (zebrafish), 948 nucleotides long. The record is from RefSeq and is a predicted model, not a curated record. Lineage: Eukaryota; Metazoa; Chordata; Actinopteri; Cypriniformes; Danionidae.
AAAUACAAUGGAAGUCAGUAGUUACAGGUUUUCAGCUUUUAUCAUAAUAUCUGUAUUUGUGUUCAACAUAUCUUAAUAUUUGGGUGUAUUAUUUUAUCUAAUGUUUAUUUUAUUUAAUCUUGUUCUCUAUGAACUUAAUGUAUUUGACUAAAUAAAAUUAAUAAUAAUAUUUACAUUUUUUGUUCUGUUGCUUUCAUUCCAUUUAUUGUUCAUAUUUUUAAAAUACUUUGGAUACAAACAUCUAUCCAAUAGUUUGUAAAUGUAAGUAUUAGAUGUACCUAAUGAAAUAAAAUAAAAUAAAAAUGCAAUACAUAAUUACAAAUACUUACUGUGGAUUAAUGAUGUUCAAACUAAAACAAUGUUUAUUAAGACAUUAAUGAUAUACAGUAUGACAUGUCAUUAUUAUCAGCAAUGAGGGGUCGGCAGCAGCGCACUCCGUUGGUUUGCAGUUAAUUCAAGCGGAUCUAUACCCUGUAUGUAAGUCAGUUUUUCAAAAUUACGAUCCCUGGCAUGUUUGUUUAGUUUAUUGCGGUGCCGCGUGCUCUCGAUUUUCUUGUAUUUCUCCAGAUUGACCUUGUUAUGGCAUGUAUCUCUCUUGCGUUAUGUGUCUCUCUCAAGUUGUCAAGCGAAGCGAUACCACAAAAAUGGCGCCGGUGUGACGUCACGCACAACAACCGCACGUGACUGACAAAGACCGAUAGUGGAGGAACCCUUUCUGCUUACCUGGUGAUGCUGACCGGCCGAGAGGAGCAGGAGAGAACACACGGACAGGUGAACCACUGAGCAAACACUGGAGGAGAAACACACAGAGAGGCUGUGAUUGCGGUGCAGGUCAGUGUAAUCCUGCAGAGUGUACCUGCGGUGGAGUGUGAUGCUGAGCAUGGAAACCCUACAGAUGUAGAAAUCCUGCUUCAGCUUGCUCUCCUCGCUUCAUUUAACAGUAGUGGU